UUCUUGGAGUCCUCCGACGCCCGGAGAUCGCUGGGCACUGUGGCGCAGGAGGCCGUCAGAGCGGGAAGGAGAGAGUCGCAGCGGGGGCGGAGGCGGAGGAGGCCGUCGCAGCGGAGGCGGCCGUCGGAGCAAGGGCGGAGGCGGCCGUCGCAGUCGGAGCGGGGCGGAGGCGGCCGUCGCAGCGGGGGUGGAGGCGGAGGACCGAGUGGCGGCUUGCUCUCCUCCCUCUCCCGCGCGGCGCAGCGGCGGCGGCGGCGGCGACGACGGGAGAGCGCGCGCGGGAGGCGACGUUUGGCGUGAGAAGCCGAGAACUCCCGCGAUGGAGUUUUUUCGACUGUGCAUUCGUUGACUCGGUAAAACAUGAGGUGCUCUGUUUCAAUUUCUGCCGGCCGGCCGAUUUAAAUGGGCGGUGGAUGCUGGCCGCGAGGCAACCCGUGCCUAGACAGAGCCAAGGUGCUGGAUCUCAGUCCGUCCGGUAGUCCCUGCCCUUGCUUUAUUCCAGCUCCUCAAUCUUCAACCAUUUUCUGUGCCGCAUCAUGGCCUCCCACGAACUGCCGCCACCGCCGAUGAAGAAAUCCCCAGCACUCGCCCCCACCACCAUUAGCGACCUCAGCGGCGACAUCCUAUGUGAGAUAUUCCUCCGCCUCCCCUCGCUCCCUAGCCUCAUCCGGGCCGCGCUCACUUGCAGCUCCUUCCUCGAUGCCGUCCGUUCGUCCCCCUCCUUCCGCCGUUGCUUCCGCGCGCUCCAUCCGCCUCCCCUGCUCGGUCUCUUCAUCGAUAUGUACGAAAGCGCCAUACCUGCCUUCUCGCCCCUCCGCCGCCGCUCCGAUGCAGACCUCGCCGCCGCCAUCCGUGGCGCCGAUUUCUUCCUCACCGGCCUACCGGACGAUGACAAGGACGCCGUACCCAAUUGGUCAAUUAUCGAUUGCCGUGAUGGAUGCGUCCUUCUCGUCAACUGGAGCACGGAACAGAUGGCCGCCUACAAUCCCCUCACACGGGCUCUGGAUCUCUUCCCCACGCCGCCCGCCCAGCUCUGCGAUGGUGACCUGUAUCUUGAGUUCCACAUCCUCUCCUACCAAGAGGACCGUGGGUCGUUCCGCAUUCUGUGCGUCUGUGAAGAGCAGUGGGGGGCGUGCGUCGUUGUCUUCUCAUCGGACGCCAGGGAGUGGCAGAUUUUCCCGUGGUAUGACGAUGACAUGGGCUGGCAUCACACUGGUAGGUGAAUGGUUUCGUCUAUUGGACAGAUGAAAGCCGAGACCAUGCACGUGUGCUGGACAUUGCAACACUGGAAUUCUCUCAAAUCGAUCUGCCGCAGCUGGUUUUUGAAGGGCAAGACGCGUUUAGGGUUGGUGAGGCCAAGAACGGAAAUCUCUGUAUGACCUCUUUGGUUCAAUUGAAUUUGUUUGUUUGGCUCUGGAGAGCUAAUGACCAAGGUGUUGAGACAUGGAUGCUGGACAAUGCAUUUGAAUUGAAGAAGAUUGCUGAGGCGGCCAAGUGUUCACUAGAGGAUAACAGUGCACUGAAGGUUGUGGCCAUUGUCGAUGGCUGUGUUUACUUGUCUACUUACCACGAGACACGCUAUGAUUCUCCUUGCUGUUACUAUCCUUCUGCUUGGAAACUUCGGAGCUGAAUAAGCUCUGUCCUACGCGCUUUCACCCGGUGUUUCAUAUCCCUACAUCAUGGCUUGGCCUCCUUCACUGGUACGCACCAAGGUGAACCCUCGACUUAACGGUGCUUGAAUAUGAGGGAAGAAGAAAAGUAUGACCAAGAAGUUAUAUACUCUAUGCCAUGAUUCUGUAGAUGUAAUCCUGGUUAGAUGUACUCAUCUUUAGAAUAAAUCAAGAUGCCAAGGUGUUGUGGGAAUUGCAAGUCAUUUUUGUGUGUCAUAUUGAGCAUAUUAAUAUUCAUUCUUCCAUUCCCUGCA
RNA transcript from Brachypodium distachyon (stiff brome), 1924 nucleotides. RefSeq lists it as uncharacterized. The record is from RefSeq and is a predicted model, not a curated record. The transcript has a single exon. Lineage: Eukaryota; Viridiplantae; Streptophyta; Magnoliopsida; Poales; Poaceae.